AUGUUAUCAAGAAAGGUGGAGGGAUUAGACCCAAAGAAACCUUAGCAACCCUUUAUGUAAGUAGUUUAAAAUAUUUAAAUUAGUUAGAUAAAGAAGGUGCUAAAUUCUACUUAAAAACUGUUUUAUUACAAAAUUACAGCUUUUUAAGAGAGAUAACGG
This is a non-coding RNA of 159 nucleotides. It matches the Rfam family "SAM riboswitch aptamer (S box leader)". From Rfam's summary of the family: The SAM riboswitch is found upstream of a number of genes which code for proteins involved in methionine or cysteine biosynthesis in Gram-positive bacteria. The SAM riboswitch acts at the level of transcription termination control.